AUUGAACGCUGGCGGCAGGCCUAACACAUGCAAGUCGAACGGAGCGGCGGACGGGUGAGUAAUGCCUAGUAAUCUGCCUGUUAGUGAGGGAUAACGUCCGGAAACGGGCGCUAAUACCUCAUCCUUUCAGAUCCGCCUAGGUCGGAUUAGCUAGUGGGUGGGGUAAAGGCCUACCAAGGCGACGAUCCGUAACUGGUCUGAGAGGAUGAUCAGUCACACUGGAACGGAGACACGGUCCAGACUCCUACGGGAGGCAGCAGUGGGGAAUAUUGGACAAUGGGCGAAAGCCUGAUCCAGCCAUGCCGCGGGUGUGAAGAAGGUCUUCGGAUUGUAAAGCACUUUCAGCGGGGAGGCGUUACCCGCAGAAGAAGCACCGGCUAACUCCGUGCCAGCAGCCGCGGUAAUUC
This 407-nucleotide ribosomal RNA is filed under the name uncultured bacterium. Its description in RNAcentral is "partial 16S ribosomal RNA". It matches the Rfam family "Bacterial small subunit ribosomal RNA", at positions 30 to 526 of the family's 1533-position model. The record is from RNAcentral.